CAGUAAAUAGUUUAUUUAAAAAUAUAGGUUUUGGAAAUUUAUGAAGUGUUUAUCAUUUUACUGA
Molecule: transfer RNA, 64 nt
Filed under: Oncopsis nigrofasciata
Lineage: Eukaryota; Metazoa; Arthropoda; Insecta; Hemiptera; Cicadellidae
Description: tRNA-Pro
Source: RNAcentral